RNAcentral lists this ribosomal RNA (467 nucleotides) under uncultured bacterium. RNAcentral describes it as "partial 16S ribosomal RNA". It matches the Rfam family "Bacterial small subunit ribosomal RNA", at positions 28 to 507 of the family's 1533-position model. The record is from RNAcentral.
GACGAACGCUGGCGGCGUGCUUAACACAUGCAAGUCGAACGGAAAGGCCCUGCUUUUGUGGGGUGCUCGAGUGGCGAACGGGUGAGUAACACGUGAGUAACCUGCCCUUGACUUUGGGAUAACUUCAGGAAACUGGGGCUAAUACCGGAUAGGAGCUCCUGCUGCAUGGUGGGGGUUGGAAAGUUUCGGCGGUUGGGGAUGGACUCGCGGCUUAUCAGCUUGUUGGUGGGGUAGUGGCUUACCAAGGCUUUGACGGGUAGCCGGCCUGAGAGGGUGACCGGCCACAUUGGGCUGAGAUACGACCCAGACUCCUACGGGAGGCAGCAGUGGGGAAUAUUGCACAAUGGGCGGAAGCCUGAUGCAGCAACGCCGCGUGCGGGAUGACGGCCUUCGGGUUGUAAACCGCUUUCGCCUGUGACGAAGCGUGAGUGACGGUAAUGGGUAAAGAAGCACCGGCUAACUACGUG